RNAcentral lists this ribosomal RNA (253 nucleotides) under uncultured bacterium. Its description in RNAcentral is "partial 16S ribosomal RNA". It matches the Rfam family "Bacterial small subunit ribosomal RNA", at positions 524 to 776 of the family's 1533-position model. The record is from RNAcentral.
UACGUAGGGUGCGAGCGUUAAUCGGAAUUACUGGGCGUAAAGCGUGCGCAGGCGGUUUUGUAAGCCAGAUGUGAAAUCCCCGGGCUUAACCUGGGAAUGGCAUUUGGGACUGCAAGGCUGGAGUGCGGCAGAGGAGACUGGAAUUCCUGGUGUAGCAGUGAAAUGCGUAGAUAUCAGGAGGAACACCGGUGGCGAAGGCGGGUCUCUGGGCAGUAACUGACGCUGAGGAACGAAAGCGUGGGUAGCGAACAGG